AAUGUCGUAACAAGGUUUCCGUAGGUGAACCUGCGGAAGGAUCAUUACCAGGCCUUGGGGCCGCCAGCGGGGGCUCCCGUCGUUCUCGCGACGACGGGCCCCAUCGCGGGUGCUUAGCCCCAUGACUCUUACCUUGACUAUGCGCACCUUUGUUGUUCCCAUCGGCAGGUCUCCUGCCGCUAGGGUACCCCAAUCAACCCUUUGAGCAUAAGCAUAAAACCGUCUGAAAACCAAAGUUUAACUUAUUUAC
RNAcentral lists this unclassified non-coding RNA (250 nucleotides) under plant metagenome. Its description in RNAcentral is "partial contains small subunit ribosomal RNA and internal transcribed spacer 1". The stretch from base 1 to 47 matches the Rfam family "Eukaryotic small subunit ribosomal RNA", at positions 1785 to 1831 of the family's 1831-position model. The record is from RNAcentral.